GAGUGUCCCUUGCUCUGAACUACCACUUAGUUCUUGGACAGCAGGAUUAGCGAUGUGUAAUGACAACAUCAAAGUUUGGCCCAUGCUUCUUUAACCUGUGUAUCAUGGCAUCUUUACCCUAACAUGCAUGCUUAAAGCACCAAGGGGACGGCUUUUAAGGAAUGCACA
Non-coding RNA from Cavia porcellus (domestic guinea pig), 168 nucleotides. Lineage: Eukaryota; Metazoa; Chordata; Mammalia; Rodentia; Caviidae. The record is from Rfam.